CCCAGAAGGAAUGGGAGCAGCUGGGACCUGUGCAGAAAAGCUCGCACACGGAUGGGACGCUAGAGAACUGCAGUAGUCCAGGCUCAGUGGGAAAUGAAGAUCCAAAACAAGGCAUGGGCUCUCAGUUGGAGAAAGAAGAGUCCUCGUUGGAAAGGGGGGAAAAAAACAACCCAAGUAGUCUGAACAAAAUAGCAAGGUCCAAGAAGACAGGAGCCAAUGCAAAAGUCCAACAAGAUGGUGAGCCGAUGGAGGAAAAACAGAGCCCUUACAGCAAACCCAUAGAGGAAGCUACAGUAAAGAAGAAAAGUUCAACUAGUAAGAAAAGCAGCAAGUGUGCUUUAGUGGAGAAAAAAAACGUCAGUACAAAACAUCUUUCUUCAAAAAGAAGAUGUCUUAAAUCCAAUUUGAAUGGAAAGAACUUGAAUCUGAGUUUAGGCUUACCUGGUCAGAUUGUAAAGUCUACAAAAAAGAAACAUAAUACAACUAAAGAACACAGGA
Molecule: long non-coding RNA, 498 nt
Organism: Acomys russatus (golden spiny mouse)
Lineage: Eukaryota; Metazoa; Chordata; Mammalia; Rodentia; Muridae
Exons: 3
Source: RefSeq, a predicted model, not a curated record